CCUACGGGGUGCUGCAGUGAGGAAUAUUGGUCAAUGGACGAGAGUCUGAACCAGCCAAGUAGCGUGAAGGAUGACUGCCCUAUGGGUUGUAAACUUCUUUUAUAUGGGAAUAAAAUGUUCCACGUGUGGGAUUUUGUAUGUACCAUAUGAAUAAGGAUCGGCUAACUCCGUGCCAGCAGCCGCGGUAAUACGGAGGAUCCGAGCGUUAUCCGGAUUUAUUGGGUUUAAAGGGAGCGUAGGUGGAUUGUUAAGUCAGUUGUGAAAGUUUGCGGCCCAACCGUAAAAUUGCAGUUGAAACUGGCAGUCUUGAGUACAGUAGAGGUGGGCGGAAUUCGUGGUGUAGCGGUGAAAUGCUUAGAUAUCACGAAGAACUCCGAUGGCGAAGGCAGUUCACUGGACUGCAACUGACACUGAGGCUCGAAAGUGUGGGUAUCAAACAGGAUUAGAUACCCUUGUAGUC
Molecule: ribosomal RNA, 460 nt
Filed under: uncultured bacterium
Lineage: Bacteria
Description: partial 16S ribosomal RNA
Rfam family: Bacterial small subunit ribosomal RNA
Source: RNAcentral